UCUACGGGUGGCAGCAGUGGGGAAUAUUGGACAAUGGGCGAAAGCCUGAUCCAGCCAUGCCGCGUGUGUGAAGAAGGCCUUCGGGUUGUAAAGCACUUUCAGUGGGGAAGAAAGCCUUGGGGCUAAUACCCUCGAGGAAGGACAUCACCCACAGAAGAAGCACCGGCUAACUCCGUGCCAGCAGCCGCGGUAAUACGGAGGGUGCGGGCGUUAAUCGGAAUUACUGGGCGUAAAGCGCGCGUAGGCGGUCUGAUAAGCCGGUUGUGAAAGCCCCGGGCUCAACCUGGGAACGGCAUCCGGAACUGUCAGGUUAGAGUGCAGGAGAGGAAGAUAGAAUUCCCGGUGUAGCGGUGAAAUGCGUAGAGAUCGGGAGGAAUACCAGUGGCGAAGGCGGCCUUCUGGACUGACACUGACGCUGAGGUGCGAAAGCGUGGGUAGCAAACAGGAUUAGAUACCCGUGUAGUC
This 465-nucleotide ribosomal RNA is filed under the name Vreelandella stevensii. RNAcentral's name for it is "partial 16S ribosomal RNA". It matches the Rfam family "Bacterial small subunit ribosomal RNA", at positions 338 to 795 of the family's 1533-position model. Lineage: Bacteria; Pseudomonadati; Pseudomonadota; Gammaproteobacteria; Oceanospirillales; Halomonadaceae. The record is from RNAcentral.